GAUGAACGCUGGCGGCGUGCCUAAUACAUGCAAGUCGAGCGAACAGACGAGGAGCUUGCUCCUCUGACGUUAGCGGCGGACGGGUGAGUAACACGUGGAUAACCUACCUAUCAGACUGGGAUAACUUCGGGAAACCGGAGCUAAUACCGGAUAAUAUAUUGAACCGCAUGGUUCAAUAGUGAAAGACGGUUUUGCUGUCACUUAUAGAUGGAUCCGCGCCGCAUUAGCUAGUUGGUAAGGUAACGGCUUACCAAGGCGACGAUGCGUAGCCGACCUGAGAGGGUGAUCGGCCACACGGGAACUGAGACACGGUCCAGACUCCUACGGGAGGCAGCAGUAGGGAAUCUUCCGCAAUGGGCGAAAGCCUGACGGAGCAACGCCGCGUGAGUGAUGAAGGUCUUCGGAUCGUAAAACUCUGUUAUUAGGGAAGAACAAAUGUGUAAGUAACUAUGCACGUCUUGACGGUACCUAAUCAGAAAGCCACGGCUAACUACGUG
Molecule: ribosomal RNA, 497 nt
Filed under: uncultured bacterium
Lineage: Bacteria
Description: partial 16S ribosomal RNA
Rfam family: Bacterial small subunit ribosomal RNA
Source: RNAcentral